RNAcentral lists this ribosomal RNA (515 nucleotides) under uncultured bacterium. RNAcentral describes it as "partial 16S ribosomal RNA". It matches the Rfam family "Bacterial small subunit ribosomal RNA", at positions 28 to 523 of the family's 1533-position model. The record is from RNAcentral.
GAUGAACGCUGGCGGCGUGCCUAAUACAUGCAAGUCGAGCGAAUGGAUUGAGAGCUUGCUCUUAUGAAGUUAGCGGCGGACGGGUGAGUAACACGUGGGUAACCUGUCCAUAAGACUGGGAUAACUCCGGGAAACCGGGGCUAAUACCGGAUAACAUUUUGAACCGCAUGGUUCGAAAUUGAAAGGCGGCUUCGGCUGUCACUUAUGGAUGGACCCGCGUCGGAUUAGCUAGUUGGUGAGGUAACGGUUCACCAAGGCAACGAUGCGUAGCCGACCUGAGAGGGUGAUCGGCCACACUGGGACUGAGACACGGCCCAGACUCCUACGGGAGGCAGCAGUAGGGAAUCUUCCGCAAUGGACGAAAGUCUGACGGAGCAACGCCGCGUGAGUGAUGAAGGCUUUCGGGUCGUAAAACUCUGUUGUUAGGGAAGAACAAGUGCUAGUUGAAUAAGCUGGCACCUUGACGGUACCUAACCAGAAAGCCACGGCUAACUACGUGCCAGCAGCCGCGGUAA